RNAcentral lists this ribosomal RNA (465 nucleotides) under Staphylococcus aureus. RNAcentral describes it as "bacterial SSU rRNA". It matches the Rfam family "Bacterial small subunit ribosomal RNA", at positions 339 to 796 of the family's 1533-position model. The record is from RNAcentral. Lineage: Bacteria; Bacillati; Bacillota; Bacilli; Caryophanales; Staphylococcaceae.
CUACGGGAGGCAGCAGUAGGGAAUCUUCCGCAAUGGGCGAAAGCCUGACGGAGCAACGCCGCGUGAGUGAUGAAGGUCUUCGGAUCGUAAAACUCUGUUAUUAGGGAAGAACAUAUGUGUAAGUAACUGUGCACAUCUUGACGGUACCUAAUCAGAAAGCCACGGCUAACUACGUGCCAGCAGCCGCGGUAAUACGUAGGUGGCAAGCGUUAUCCGGAAUUAUUGGGCGUAAAGCGCGCGUAGGCGGUUUUUUAAGUCUGAUGUGAAAGCCCACGGCUCAACCGGGGAGGGUCAUUGGAAACUGGAAAACUUGAGUGCGGAAGAGGAAGGUGGAAUUCCAUGUGUAGCGGUGAAAUGCGCAGAGAUAUGGAGGAACACCAGUGGCGAAGGCGACUUUCUGGUCUGUAACUGACGCUGAUGUGCGAAAGCGUGGGGAUCAAACAGGAUUAGAUACCCUGGUAGUCC